This 77-nucleotide small nucleolar RNA is filed under the name Sphenodon punctatus (tuatara). Its description in RNAcentral is "Small nucleolar RNA SNORD96 family (ENSSPUG00000002990.1)". The record is from RNAcentral. Lineage: Eukaryota; Metazoa; Chordata; Lepidosauria; Sphenodontia; Sphenodontidae.
UGUCCCUAUGAUUAAACCUGACACAGUCAGCUGACCCUCUGGGGCCUGAGGACAUGUCCUGCAAUUAUGAUGGGACA